Molecule: ribosomal RNA, 406 nt
Filed under: uncultured bacterium
Lineage: Bacteria
Description: partial 16S ribosomal RNA
Rfam family: Bacterial small subunit ribosomal RNA
Source: RNAcentral
AUUGAACGCUGGCGGCAGGCUUAACACAUGCACGUCGAGCGAGCGGCGGACGGGUGAGUAAUGUCUGGGAAACUGCCUGAGGGUGGGGGUUAACUACUGGAAACGGUAGCUAAUAACGCAUCCCAUCAUUUGGGCCGUUAUGGGAUUAGGUAGUAGGUGGGGUAAAGGCUUACCUAGGCGACGAUCCCUUGCUGGUCUGAGAGGAUGACCAGCCACCCGGGAACUGAGACACGGUCCAGACUCCUACGGGAGGCAGCAGUGGGGAAUAUUGCACGAUGGGCGCAAGCCUGAUGCAGCCAUGCCGCGUGUGUGAAGAAGGCCUUCGGGUUGUAAAGCACUUUCAGCGAGGAGGCGUUACUCGCAGAAGAUGCACCGGCUAACUCCGUGCCAGCAGCCGCGGUAAUAC